AUAGUCACACGAGUUUGAUCAUGGCUCAGAAUGAACGUUGGCGGCGUGGAUUAGGCAUGCAAGUCGAGCGCUCAUCAGCAAUGGUGGGAGCGGCGAACGGCGUAGUAAUGCAUCGGAACGUACCCUCUGGACGGGGAUAGCCACGGGAAACUGUGGGUAAUACCCGAUAAUCUCUGCGGAGCAAAGGUGUGAUUCCGCCGGAGGAGAGGCUGAUGUGAUAUUAGCUAGUUGGUGGGGUAAAGGCCUACCAAGGCGAUGAUGUCUAGGGGGUGUGAGAGCAUGGCCCCCCACGACCGGAACUGAGAUACUGUCCGGACACCUACGGGUGGCUGCAGUCGAGAAUCUUCCGCAAUGGACGAAAGUCUGACGGAGCGACGCCGCGUGCGGGAUGAAGGCCCUUGGGUUGUAAACCGCUGUCAGAGGGGAUGAAAUCGUCGGGGGUACUCCCCCGAUGUUGACAGAGCCUCAAAGGAAGCACGGGCUAAGUACGUG
Molecule: ribosomal RNA, 492 nt
Filed under: uncultured bacterium
Lineage: Bacteria
Description: bacterial SSU rRNA
Rfam family: Bacterial small subunit ribosomal RNA
Source: RNAcentral